Molecule: non-coding RNA, 1032 nt
Organism: Maylandia zebra (zebra mbuna)
Lineage: Eukaryota; Metazoa; Chordata; Actinopteri; Cichliformes; Cichlidae
Source: RefSeq, a predicted model, not a curated record
UUGGAGAUUGGCCUAUAAUUAGCUAAGACAGCUGGGUCUAGAGAUGGCUUUUUAAGAAAAGGUUUAACUAACUCAAGUACUUCUGAUUUGAGGCCUUAAUUUUCACAGGAACUACACUAUCCAGAGUCAUACGUAGUGAGGAGGUAAAAUUAUUAACAAGAUGAUAUCUUGUUAAUAAUCAAUAUCAAUAUCAAAGGCAGAGGUCAUGUCCAACAUCAGCAAAACAUUACAUGCUGCAUCAUAUCUCAUCAACAUGUCACCGGAGACUCUAAGAAGUGCAGUUUCAGUAGAUUGAGCUCCACGAAAGCCAGAUUGGAAUUUACCCAGAAUGCUGUAUUCAUUUAGAACAGAACAUAAGUAUAUAAAUAUAGUGUUGGGAUUUAAAUAUAUAUUCUUAGUGUUUAUUUGCUGCUUAUAUUGUUUUAUGUAUUAGAGGGCCAACUUUGAGUGUAAACUAGGUCGCAGGCUGACAGGAAACUGCAUGCUUUUGCAGAGUAUAGGAGGUACAGACAGAAAGUGAAACUAAGCAGAGUGUUUUGAUCGAAACUUAGUGUGGGUGUGACGUGCAGUGGAAAUAUAUAUGUGUGUGUGUGUGUGUGUGUUCAGGUCUCCAUUCACGGGAAUGUGAAAUAAAGAUCUUUUUUUUUUUAACUUUGACCACCCUGGGUCCAGUCUUUCUUUGCCGCCAAAAGAAUUAAAAGAACUGAAUUUAAUAAUUAGUGUCUCGACCCAGAUUCUUUUGCGGCUGAGAGGACAGAUUGGCUUAAGGUGGGAUCUGAUAGGAGAACAGGAGACCGGUCUAAAACGAUUUAAAGGCCUGCAAGAUUGAAUUAACUGCGCUGUAAAAAUUUUCGGGAGAACAAAUAUAAGGUGAGUUUUUCCAGAUUAUAAUGGGCAGAGGAGAAGCCUAACUGUGGGAACCGAUGAGUGUUUGAGUUCCCGUCCAAAAGGAUUGCAGCAAGUCAAUCCAGUUAAAACAUAAUAAAGAACUCUUUUUCUAAAAACAAAACAAAAUAAAACAAAUGAAUGAGC